GGUUAAGUUAGAAAGGGCGCACGGUGAAUGCCUUGGCACUAGGAGCCGAUGAAGGACGGGACUAACACCGAUAUGCUUCGGGGAGCUGUAAGUGAGCUUUGAUCCGGAGAUUUCCGAAUGGGGAAACCCACUGUUCGUAAUGGAACAGUAUCUUUAUCUGAAUACAUAGGAUAUUGAAGGCAGACCCGGGGAACUGAAACAUCUAAGUACCCGGAGGAAGAGAAAGCAAAUGCGAUUUCCUGAGUAGCGGCGAGCGAAACGGAAUUAGCCCAAACCAAGAGGCUUGCCUCUUGGGGUUGUAGGACACUCUAUACGGAGUUACAAAGGAACGAAGUAAAUGAAGCGACCUGGAAAGGUCCGUCGAAGAAGGUAACAACCCUGUAGUUGAAACUUCGUUCCCUCUUGAGUGGAUCCUGAGUACGGCGGAACACGUGAAAUUCCGUCGGAAGCUGGGAGGACCAUCUCCCAAGGCUAAAUACUACCUAGUGACCGAUAGUGAACCAGUACCGUGAGGGAAAGGUGAAAAGCACCCCGGAAGGGGAGUGAAAGAGAUCCUGAAACCGUGUGCCUACAAGUAGUCAGAGCCCGUUAACGGGUGAUGGCGUGCCUUUUGUAGAAUGAACCGGCGAGUUACGAUCCCAUGCAAGGUUAAGCUGAUAAGGCGGAGCCGUAGCGAAAGCGAGUCUGAAUAGGGCGUUUAGUAUGUGGUUGUAGACCCGAAACCAGGUGAUCUACCCAUGUCCAGGGUGAAGUUCAGGUAACACUGAAUGGAGGCCCGAACCCACGCACGUUGAAAAGUGCGGGGAUGAGGUGUGGGUAGCGGAGAAAUUCCAAUCGAACCUGGAGAUAGCUGGUUCUCUCCGAAAUAGCUUUAGGGCUAGCCUCAUGUUGUGAGAGUCUUGGAGGUAGAGCACUGAUUGGACUAGGGGCCCCCAACGGGUUACCGAAUUCAGUCAAACUCCGAAUGCCAAAGACUUAUCCAUGGGAGUCAGACUGCGAGUGAUAAGAUCCGUAGUCAAAAGGGAAACAGCCCAGACCACCAGCUAAGGUCCCCAAGUAUACGUUAAGUGGAAAAGGAUGUGGAGUUGCUUAGACAACCAGGAUGUUGGCUUAGAAGCAGCCACCAUUUAAAGAGUGCGUAAUAGCUCACUGGUCGAGUGACUCUGCGCCGAAAAUGUACCGGGGCUAAACGUAUCACCGAAGCUGUGGAUUGACAUCUUUGAUGUCAGUGGUAGGAGAGCGUUCUAAGUGCUGUGAAGUCAGACCGUAAGGACUGGUGGAGCGCUUAGAAGUGAGAAUGCCGGUAUGAGUAGCGAAAGACAAGUGAGAAUCUUGUCCACCGAAUGCCUAAGGUUUCCUGAGGAAGGCUCGUCCGCUCAGGGUUAGUCGGGACCUAAGCCGAGGCUGAAAAGCGUAGGCGAUGGCCAACAGGUUGAUAUUCCUGUACCACCUCCCCGCCGUUUGAGUAAUGGGGGGACGCAGUAGGAUAGGGUAAGCGCGCUGCUGGAUAUGCGCGUUCAAGCAGUUAGGCUGAUGAGUAGGCAAAUCCGCUCAUCAUAAAGGCUGAGCUGUGAUGACGAGGGAAUUAUAGUACCGAAGUUCCUGAUUCCACACUGCCAAGAAAAGCCUCUAGCGAGGCGGGAGGUGCCCGUACCGCAAACCGACACAGGUAGGCGAGGAGAGAAUCCUAAGGUGAUCGAGAGAACUCUCGUUAAGGAACUCGGCAAAAUGACCCCGUAACUUCGGGAGAAGGGGUGCUCUGGUAGGGUGUAUAGCCCGAGAGAGCCGCAGUGAAUAGGCCCAGGCGACUGUUUAGCAAAAACACAGGUCUCUGCGAAGCCGCAAGGCGAAGUAUAGGGGCUGACGCCUGCCCGGUGCUGGAAGGUUAAGAGGAGGGGUUAUCCUUUGGGAGAAGCUCUGAAUCGAAGCCCCAGUAAACGGCGGCCGUAACUAUAACGGUCCUAAGGUAGCGAAAUUCCUUGUCGGGUAAGUUCCGACCCGCACGAAAGGCGUAACGAUCUGGGCACUGUCUCAACGAGAGACUCGGUGAAAUUAUAGUACCUGUGAAGAUGCAGGUUACCCGCGACAGGACGGAAAGACCCCGUGGAGCUUUACUGUAGCCUGAUAUUGAAUUUUGGUACAGCUUGUACAGGAUAGGUAGGAGCCUGAGAAGCCGGAGCGCUAGCUUCGGUGGAGGCGUCGGUGGGAUACUACCCUGGCUGUAUUGAAAUUCUAACCCGCGGCCCUGAUCGGGCCGGGAGACAGUGUCAGGUGGGCAGUUUGACUGGGGCGGUCGCCUCCUAAAAUGUAACGGAGGCGCCCAAAGGUUCCCUCAGAAUGGUUGGAAAUCAUUCGUAGAGUGUAAAGGCACAAGGGAGCUUGACUGCGAGACCUACAAGUCGAGCAGGGACGAAAGUCGGGCUUAGUGAUCCGGUGGUUCCGCAUGGAAGGGCCAUCGCUCAACGGAUAAAAGCUACCCCGGGGAUAACAGGCUUAUCUCCCCCAAGAGUCCACAUCGACGGGGAGGUUUGGCACCUCGAUGUCGGCUCAUCGCAUCCUGGGGCUGUAGUCGGUCCCAAGGGUUGGGCUGUUCGCCCAUUAAAGCGGUACGCGAGCUGGGUUCAGAACGUCGUGAGACAGUUCGGUCCCUAUCCGUCGUGGGCGUAGGAAAUUUGAGAGGAGCUGUCCUUAGUACGAGAGGACCGGGAUGGACACACCGCUGGUGUACCAGUUGUCUUGCCAAAGGCAUCGCUGGGUAGCUAUGUGUGGACGGGAUAAGUGCUGAAAGCAUCUAAGCAUGAAGCCCCCCUCAAGAUGAGAUUUCCCAUAGCGUAAGCUAGUAAGAUCCCUGAAAGAUGAUCAGGUUGAUAGGUCAGAGGUGGAAGCGUGGCGACAUGUGUAGCUGACUGAUACUAAUCGAUCGAGGACUUAACCAA
Molecule: ribosomal RNA, 2936 nt
Filed under: Priestia megaterium
Lineage: Bacteria; Bacillati; Bacillota; Bacilli; Caryophanales; Bacillaceae
Also listed under: 2 other names
Description: 23S ribosomal RNA
Rfam family: Bacterial large subunit ribosomal RNA
Source: RNAcentral